AUGAAGGCAUACACGGCGACCGAGGACAAGCUUCUUUGCGAGUGUUGGCGAGACAUUGGACAAGACCCCAAGACGGGCGCCGAACAAAAGCAUUCAACCUUUUGGAUUCGUGUCCACCGAGAGUUUCAUGAGCGCAAGAAGUUUCCGCUUUACCAACUUGUCAGCACGCGCGGGUGGGUGUCCAUUUCCAAGCGAUGGAGGGUGAUCCAACAAGAGUGCAACAAGUUUUGCGCCACUCUUGAGAGCGUCAAGGCCCGCCCCGUGAGCGGCAUCGGCAUGCAAGACAUGGUAUGCUAG
Molecule: ribosomal RNA, 297 nt
Filed under: Triticum aestivum (bread wheat)
Lineage: Eukaryota; Viridiplantae; Streptophyta; Magnoliopsida; Poales; Poaceae
Description: partial small subunit ribosomal RNA
Source: RNAcentral